AGUUUGAUCCUGGCUCAGGAUGAACGCUAGCGGCAGGCUUAAUACAUGCAAGUCGUGGGGCAGCAGGUUUGUAGCAAUACAGAUGCUGGCGACCGGCAAACGGGUGCGGAACACGUACAGAACCUUCCUUUGAGCGGGGAAUAGCCCAGAGAAAUUUGGAUUAAUACCCCAUAGUAUAAUGAAGUGGCAUCACUUUAUUAUUAAAGAUUUAUCACUCGAAGAUGGCUGUGCGGCUGAUUAGGUAGUUGGCGGGUAAAGGCCCACCAAGCCUGCGAUCAGUAACUGGUGUGAGAGCACGACCAGUCACACGGGCACUGAGACACGGGCCCGACUCCUACGGGAGGCAGCAGUAAGGAAUAUUGGUCAAUGGAGGCAACUCUGAACCAGCCAUGCCGCGUGGAGGAUGAAGGUCCUCUGGAUUGUAAACUUCUUUUAUAUGGGACGAAAAAGGCUUUUCUAAGUCGUCUGACGGUACCAUAUGAAUAAGCACCGGCUAACUCCGUG
Molecule: ribosomal RNA, 504 nt
Filed under: uncultured bacterium
Lineage: Bacteria
Description: bacterial SSU rRNA
Rfam family: Bacterial small subunit ribosomal RNA
Source: RNAcentral